RNAcentral lists this microRNA (21 nucleotides) under Schistosoma japonicum. RNAcentral describes it as "miRNA-3121". The record is from RNAcentral. Lineage: Eukaryota; Metazoa; Platyhelminthes; Trematoda; Strigeidida; Schistosomatidae.
UUGGGCUGAGCCAUGUUAAUU